AUAGCGUAUAUUAAAGUUGUUGCAGUUAAAAAGCUCGUAGUUGAAUUUCUGGCCAGCUCUAUUCUCGGCUCUCUGAGUCGGUGUAGAGUUUGGUCAUCCGUAUGGGAAGCUAGCUCGGCCUUCACUGGUCGGCUAGUGGAUCAUACACUUUACUUUGAAAAAAUUAGAGUGUUUCAGGCAGGCAAUUGCUUGGAUACUGCAGCAUGGAAUAAUGGAAUAGGACUUUGACCUAUUUGUUGGUUUCUCGAGGUCAAAGUAAUGAUUAAUAGGGAUAGUUGGGGGCAUUCGUAUUUAAUUGUCAGAGGUGAAAUUCUUGGAUUUAUUAAAGACGAACUUAUG
This 339-nucleotide ribosomal RNA is filed under the name uncultured eukaryote. Its description in RNAcentral is "SSU rRNA". It matches the Rfam family "Eukaryotic small subunit ribosomal RNA", at positions 594 to 945 of the family's 1831-position model. The record is from RNAcentral.